AUUGAACGCUGGCGGCAGGCCUAACACAUGCAAGUCGAGCGAGCGGCGGACGGGUGAGUAAUGUAUGGGGACUGCCCGAUAGAGGGGGAUAACUACUGGAAACGGUGGCUAAUACCGCAUACUAUCGGAUAACCCAUAUGGGAUUAGCUAGUAGGUUGGGUAAAGGGUCACCUAGGCGACGAUCUCUAGCUGGUCUGAGAGGAUGAUCGGCGCCACUGGGACUGGAACAUGGCCCAGACUCCUACGGAAGCAGCAUUGGGGAAAUUUGGACAAAGGGCGCAAGCCGGGUGCAAGCAUUCCGCGUGUAUGAAAAAGGCCUUAGGGUUGUAAACUAAUUUCAGCGGGGAGGAGUUACCUCCAGAAGAAGCACCGGCUAACUCCGUGCCCGCAGCCGCGGUAAUAC
This 403-nucleotide ribosomal RNA is filed under the name uncultured bacterium. Its description in RNAcentral is "partial 16S ribosomal RNA". It matches the Rfam family "Bacterial small subunit ribosomal RNA", at positions 30 to 526 of the family's 1533-position model. The record is from RNAcentral.